This 497-nucleotide ribosomal RNA is filed under the name uncultured bacterium. Its description in RNAcentral is "partial 16S ribosomal RNA". It matches the Rfam family "Bacterial small subunit ribosomal RNA", at positions 28 to 507 of the family's 1533-position model. The record is from RNAcentral.
GAUGAACGCUGGCGGCGUGCCUAAUACAUGCAAGUCGAGCGAACGGACGAGAAGCUUGCUUUUCUGAUGUUAGCGGCGGACGGGUGAGUAACACGUGGAUAACCUACCUAUAAGACUGGGAUAACUUCGGGAAACCGGAGCUAAUACCGGAUAAUAUUUUGAACCGCAUGGUUCAAAAGUGAAAGACGGUCUUGCUGUCACUUAUAGAUGGAUCCGCGCUGCAUUAGCUAGUUGGUAAGGUAACGGCUUACCAAGGCAACGAUGCAUAGCCGACCUGAGAGGGGGAUCGGCCACACUGGAACUGAGACACGGUCCAGACUCCUACGGGAGGCAGCAGUAGGGAAUCUUCCGCAAUGGGCGAAAGCCUGACGGAGCAACGCCGCGGGAGUGAUGAAGGUCUUCGGAUCGUAAAACUCUGUUAUUAGGGAAGAACAUAUGUGUAAGUAACUGUGCACAUCUUGACGGUACCUAAUCAGAAAGCCACGGCUAACUACGUG